This 382-nucleotide ribosomal RNA is filed under the name uncultured eukaryote. RNAcentral's name for it is "SSU rRNA". It matches the Rfam family "Eukaryotic small subunit ribosomal RNA", at positions 587 to 972 of the family's 1831-position model. The record is from RNAcentral.
AGCUCCAAUAGCGUAUAUUAAUGUUGUUGCAGUUAAAAGCUCGUAGUUGGAUUUCUGCUGGGUCCGGCCGGUCCGCCUCGCGAGAGGUGCGCACUAGCGCCGCGCCCCGGCAUCCUUGCAGAGAGCGUGCCUGGCAUUAAGUUGUCGGGUUCGGGAUCUGCAUCGUUUACUGUGAAAAAUUGAGUGUUUAAAGCAGGCAUUUGCUGUGAAUACAUUAGCAUGGAAUAAUAAGAUAGGACUUUGGUGCUAUUUUGUUGGUUUGCACACCAAGGUAAUGAUUAACAGGGACAGUUGGGGGUAUUCAUAUUUAAUUGUCAGAGGUGAAAUUCUUGGAUUUAUGAAAGAUGAACCUAUGCGAAAGCAUUUACCAAGGAUGUUUUCA